UACAGAGGGUGCUAGUGUUGUUCGGAAUCAUUGGGCGUAAAGGGCGUGUAGGCGGUUUGUUAAGUCAUGUGUGAAAUCCCUCGGCUCAACCGGGGAAGGACGCAUGAAACUGGCAAGCUAGAGUACCAAAGAGGGGGGUGGAAUUCCCGGUGUAGCGGUGAAAUGCGUAGAGAUCGGGAGGAACACCAGUGGCGAAGGCGACUACCUGGACCAGCACUGACACUGAGGCACGAAAGCGUGGGGAGCAAACAGG
RNAcentral lists this ribosomal RNA (253 nucleotides) under uncultured bacterium. RNAcentral's name for it is "partial 16S ribosomal RNA". It matches the Rfam family "Bacterial small subunit ribosomal RNA", at positions 524 to 776 of the family's 1533-position model. The record is from RNAcentral.